RNAcentral lists this ribosomal RNA (449 nucleotides) under uncultured Glomus. Its description in RNAcentral is "SSU rRNA". It matches the Rfam family "Eukaryotic small subunit ribosomal RNA", at positions 602 to 1057 of the family's 1831-position model. Lineage: Eukaryota; Fungi; Glomeromycota; Glomeromycetes; Glomerales; Glomeraceae. The record is from RNAcentral.
UAUUAAAGUUGUUGCAGUUAAAAAGCUCGUAGUUGAAUUUCGGGAUCAAUACGUCGGUCGUGCUUCGGUACGUACUGGCGUCAUUGAUUUCUCCCUUCUGACGAACCAUGAUGUCAUUAACUUGGUGUCAUGGGAAAUCAGGACUGUUACUUUGAAAAAAUUAAAGUGUUUAGAGCAGGCAUAAGCUUGAAUACAUUAGCAUGGAAUAAUGAAAUAGGACGUUUGAUCCUAUUUUGUUGGUUUCUAGGAUCAACGUAAUGAUUAAUAGGGAUAGUUGUGGCAUUAGUAUUCAAUUGUCAGAGGUGAAAUUCUUGGAUUUAUUGAAGACUAACUACUGCGAAAGCAUUUGCCAAGGAUGUUUUCAUUAAUCAAGAACGAAAGUUAGGGGAUCGAAGACGAUCAGAUACCGUCGUAGUCUUAACCAUAAACUAUGCCGACUAGGGAUCGGA